ACUGUGAAAAAAUCCUUCUCUCACCCUACAGAUACCUGUACGGAGAACUUGGGAGGCAUUUUUAUAAGCUCAUUGUCAAGUGAAUGUUAAAGUCCCCAUUCACUGAGAAGCAAAGGGUGAAGAAGUGAGACCCUACAUGGCUUUUUAGUGCAUUGAUGGAGCAGAGACACGUCUAUGAACAACUGCCUAUGCAAACUGAUUACUCGGCAGUAUAAUUUAUCAGUUUGUAUGAGUAAGUGAGUGCUUCUCACUAUGGAUUUAGCUUGCACUUCAAUUUAGAACUAGAAGGAAUAAGUGGAAAUCAGGAGAAGCAUUAAAGACAUUCCGGUGUCACCGAGCAUACCGAAACCUGGAAACAUGUUCCAUUAUCUUGCUUUGGAUUUAUGGAAAUUCUGAACAGUGAUGUGAGAGUGACUACAGUUUGAAGUAUCUGUUAAAUACAGCAACAUGACAUCACAAGGAUUGUUUUGGAGUCUUCUGGAUAUGAGAACAUUAUAAAAGGUGAAAAAGUAGAACUGAAAUAUGAAGGGAGAAAAAGAGACAACUAUGGUUUCAAGUCUCACUUAGAGAAGAAGGAUUGUUUAUUUAUUUGAUGGAAAUUGGGUCAAUUGAAGACUCUGACACAGAGAAUAACAGUACCAGA
This 643-nucleotide long non-coding RNA is filed under the name Pongo abelii (Sumatran orangutan). RNAcentral describes it as "lincRNA". The record is from RNAcentral. Lineage: Eukaryota; Metazoa; Chordata; Mammalia; Primates; Hominidae.